AUAAAUAGAUGAUUUUUGGCUCAUAAGCCAAAAUCCAAAAUCAAAGUUAAGCCUAACCAAACACCUCCUCAUUGAAGGCUCAAACUAACAUCUCCACAGGACAGAUAACAACAUAUUCUGGUGAGACAUCGUAAUCAUCAUCAUCUGUGUUUCUGUUGGGUUCAUGACACUAAAUGUGCACAGCAACACAGAAUCCAAGUCAUCAACGGACAUGUGGCAACCGUGUAAUCUUACACUGACCGGAGAAACAAGAAUAACAUGACCUCGAGAGUCUUAGACAGCAUAGCUUAAAUCCGACACAACACAGAGAGUCCCGGCUACAAGAAUGGGUAACAACACCGAAAACAGCACCUAGCACCUGCCGCCUCAGACGUUCACUACCUAUCUUUCAGCUCUAGCUCGAACGUCCGCAGCUUCUCCUUUAUAGGCGAAAGGAACAAUUUCACAUCCUUGCAGAUCCGCGACUUGUCAUCCCAUUCGAGGGUAUCGGUGAACCUAACUUCUGCCUGAAAUCAGAAGGGAUUGUUUGAGACAACCAAUACCCAGUAAUUGAUUAUAAAUGGUACAGGCACUAUAGAGAACAGUAGUGGUUAUUUGUACCUCGAGGUCAUCAAGCUCACCAAAUGAAAACUCGG
RNAcentral lists this long non-coding RNA (635 nucleotides) under Triticum aestivum (bread wheat). RNAcentral's name for it is "long non-coding RNA (TAES_LNC013018)". The record is from RNAcentral. Lineage: Eukaryota; Viridiplantae; Streptophyta; Magnoliopsida; Poales; Poaceae.